RNAcentral lists this ribosomal RNA (427 nucleotides) under uncultured bacterium. RNAcentral describes it as "bacterial SSU rRNA". It matches the Rfam family "Bacterial small subunit ribosomal RNA", at positions 355 to 774 of the family's 1533-position model. The record is from RNAcentral.
UAAGGAAUAUUGGUCAAUGGGCGCAAGCCUGAUCCAGCCAUGCCGCGUGCAGGAUGAAGGCCUUCGGGUUGUAAACUGCUUUUGUACGGAACGAAAAGACUCCUUCUAAUAAAGGGGGUCCAUGACGGUACCGUAAGAAUAAGCACCGGCUAACUACGUGCCAGCAGCCGCGGUAAUACGUAGGGUGCAAGCGUUAAUCGGAAUUACUGGGCGUAAAGCGUGCGCAGGCGGUUAUGCAAGACAGAGGUGAAAUCCCCGGGCUCAACCUGGGAACUGCCUUUGUGACUGCAUAGCUAGAGUACGGUAGAGGGGGAUGGAAUUCCGCGUGUAGCAGUGAAAUGCGUAGAUAUGCGGAGGAACACCGAUGGCGAAGGCAAUCCCCUGGACCUGUACUGACGCUCAUGCACGAAAGCGUGGGGAGCAAACA